AUGUUAUCACCAUCCGGUUCCGUUCUUCAGAUACGCAGAAUCGUUCUUGUUCAUUGGUUGCUUGAGGGGAAUGUUAUUUUCUUGGAGAUACAGAGAGAAAUCUCUACUGAAUUAGGUGUUGAAGAUGUUUUCUUGUGUAUGUGUGUGUCAGUGCAAACCCGGAUCAGUUGCUGCUCCAAACCAGACAAUUUGGAGGAUAAACGCGAGUCUCCCAGCGAUGCCAUGGAAGAAGAAAGUAUUCGCUCCAGACGUAGAUGUCUAGCUUGCCUGUGUGCUGUAACAUUAAUCAGUGCAUCGGGCCCAAAGUUUUCUAUCAUUGGAACCUUGAUGAUUUAUCUCAUUUGA
Molecule: ribosomal RNA, 345 nt
Filed under: Triticum aestivum (bread wheat)
Lineage: Eukaryota; Viridiplantae; Streptophyta; Magnoliopsida; Poales; Poaceae
Description: partial small subunit ribosomal RNA
Source: RNAcentral